Molecule: long non-coding RNA, 143 nt
Organism: Homo sapiens (human)
Lineage: Eukaryota; Metazoa; Chordata; Mammalia; Primates; Hominidae
Exons: 2
Source: RefSeq, a predicted model, not a curated record
CUCCCCAGUAACUGAGACUAUAAGCGCGUGACACCAUGCCCAGCUAAAACCACAACUGGAGCUGAGUUAAGCAUUGUCCUCCUCUGCAUUCUCUCUUGGAAUAACCCCUCCCAUCCAUGAAAGGAAUAAAACACUUGUCAUGA